Non-coding RNA from Paramisgurnus dabryanus, 796 nucleotides. Lineage: Eukaryota; Metazoa; Chordata; Actinopteri; Cypriniformes; Cobitidae. The record is from RefSeq and is a predicted model, not a curated record.
AGAAAUAUAAUGAAUCAACAGUGAAAGCUAAAACAUCAGACUGAUCCAGACACUGAAGAAAUUGAUGUCACUGCAAUCUGGCCAAAAUUAUACAACUAUAUUGAAGUAGCCUACUGUAAUGAGCUGCAGAACAACACAGAGACUCUGAGGACAUCAACACAGAAAAUUAAGGCUCCAAAGAGAUGUCUGUCCAGAUGAGGGUGCAUCAACGUUACCUUUGCUGACAAGUAUAUGCUUUACAAUGUAAAACCUAACAGUUAACUUAACUCAAACCAUUUAAGGAAAUCGGUUGCCUUAACCCAUUAAGUUUAAAAAAAAAACAUACAUUUGAGUACUGUGAACUUAAGUCUUGUGCAAUAAUGCACUUAUAUUUAGUUAGUGUGAACUUAAAUAUAAGUGCAUAACUGCAUGUGACUCAAUUUGUUUAAGUUCACAGUACUCAAAUCUAUGUGUUUUAAAACUUAAAUGGUUUAAUGCAACCGGUUUUCUUAAAUGGUUUGAGUUUAGUUAACUUUUAGGUUUUACAGUGAGAAAUUCUUGAAUAAUUUCAAGACAGAGCUCUGCAAUUGUAUCUACACUGCAAAAAAUCAGUUUCUAACUUAGGAUUUUUAUCUUGUUUUUAGUAGAAAAACUAAAAAUUCUUAAAUCAAGAUGUAUUUUCUUGAUGAGCAAAAUUACCUAAGAAAAUGUCUAGUUUUUAGACAAAAAUAUACAAUUUAAGUAAAUUUGUGCCUAAACAAGCAAAAAUAUCUAACAAUGGGGUGAGAAAAUUGUGCUUGAAUUAAGUUUUUAAGAA